This 65-nucleotide transfer RNA is filed under the name Dipodomys ordii (Ord's kangaroo rat). It matches the Rfam family "tRNA". Rfam says of the family: Transfer RNA (tRNA) molecules are approximately 80 nucleotides in length. Their secondary structure includes four short double-helical elements and three loops (D, anti-codon, and T loops). Lineage: Eukaryota; Metazoa; Chordata; Mammalia; Rodentia; Heteromyidae. The record is from Rfam by way of RNAcentral.
GGUGGCUCAGAGGUAGAGUGCUUGCCUUGCAUGCAAGAGGCCCUGGGUUCAAUUCCUCAGCACCA